AGAAGUGACACAAAAAAAAUGCCACUCAUCUUAAACUUCACCAUUUCAUGAUUCAGAUUUAUUAUACCAAGAAAUAAGAAUCAUGUUAAUGGAACAUUAUCUUUGAGUAAAGUUACGAUUUUUUUAUCCCUGUGAUAACCAAUAAUUGCGAACGGCAGGUUUGAAGAAACGAACAACCAAGAAAUGAAAAGUGGUAGUUUUCCUAACACUUUAGAGAAAAAAAAUUCUAGAUUUUUAUCAAACAUCCUGAGACACAUUGCACCCGACAUGCGACCUGGAAUAUAGAGCGCAAUAGAGAAAAUUAAUUUCAAUUAAUAUCUUAAUCUUUCUCAUUUUGUAACUCUGCGUAAAGAACAGAAAAUCAUUUUCUUUUAAUUUCACACAAAUAAAAUAAAUUAAUAUCUGAUGAUUAUAUCAUAUUUGGACACUAAAGUAUAAUCUCUAAUAUGGUUAACCCUAUUUUUUAAAACACAGUUACUUGGGGGCUUUUGGAGUAGCUAAAUAUAAAUCUGAGGUCAGUUUUCGAAAAUUCAAAAUGGCGGAUACAAGAUGGCAGACAUAAAAAAAUUAAAAAUCGGCUUUAAAUAAUUAUAAUAUAAUAUAUUAUUAUAUAAUGUAAUAAAAAUAAAUAAUUAUAAUUACAUUUUCUUGAAAAAAUUAAUACAAAUGCGCAAAUUUAAACAUUUAAAUGUUAGCUUGUAAUAACAAGUUUAAAAGCAGUAUUAUCUUAAAAAAUGAUUAAAAUUUAUAAUUUACUAACAACAUAUUCCUCGUUCGCUAACACUCGCUCGGUUGUAGGUAGUUAUCAUAUUAUAGAUAAGUAUUUACUGCAGGUGAUAAAUGUAUAUAUUUUCUUAUAUAAAUUUAUUAUUAUACUAAUAUAAAAUUAUUAUUUAUCUUUAUAUUAUUUAAUUAUUAAAAGUGACAUUUUUUAAAUUAAAUUAGGUACUAAUAUACAUUUAAUGGUUUAUAAAUGCAGAACCUUUCUCAAUUUUAUUUAUAUUUCCAAAUAAAUGUUUAUUUAUAAAAUAUUGUACUUUCUACGUAGUUAAAAUUCUUAGAAUAAAUUAUUGAUAAAAAUUGAGUAUUUGUUUCUUCAUUUUCCUUCUGUUUUAAGAUUAGUGAUAGAUAGCAACUUUUAAAUAUAAUAUAUAUUUAAGAAACCUGUUAUUCAGUUUUAAAAAAAGAUAACUCUUGAAUAUUAAACAAAGAUAAUGCAAGUAAAUAAACAAUUGUCAGCUUUUUGCGACUAUAUAAACCGUGAUACAUUUUUAUUAAACGUAAAUUACAAAAGCUUUGUUUCAAAGAAGACAAUCGACCUGAGUAUUAAUAAGAAAAGAUGAAGCUUUACACUGUUUUGCUAGUGUGCGUUACAGUUUGCAUCUUGAGUGUCAAUGGGCAAUGUGGAAAUGCAAAUCAAGGUUGUAAUUUCAGAAGUCCUUGCUGUCCUUUUCUCAAUUGCGUUGGUGGAAUAUGCAGAUAAGGUGGUUAAUCUGAUGAAAAUUUUAAAUCUAUGUAACAAUAUUUGAUGUGAACUAAAAUUGGAUAAAUUUUUUUCUCUUUAAAUUUCUACUUUAUUGUAAUAAAGUAAUAAAUUAUAUAUAUUCAUAUAUAAGAGGGCUUCGCUUCAUUCUCUUGAAAAUUUAUAUGGAAAACUCAUCUAAUUUCCCAUAAGGGUUCAUAUAAGUACCUACAGAGGGUCCUAUGUGGUGUUAACUUGGGUUCCCAUAUAUAUAUAUAUAUUCCUAUUGAACUACUAUCUACCGAUGGUUAAUAAAAUGGAGUACAGAAUCGCAUCGUAUACUUUAGUAUAUUGAAAGGUAUUAUUUGCAAAAUAAAAGGACAAUCAAUCAAACCUCUAA
Molecule: long non-coding RNA, 1862 nt
Organism: Leptopilina heterotoma
Lineage: Eukaryota; Metazoa; Arthropoda; Insecta; Hymenoptera; Figitidae
Exons: 5
Source: RefSeq, a predicted model, not a curated record